This 253-nucleotide ribosomal RNA is filed under the name uncultured bacterium. RNAcentral's name for it is "partial 16S ribosomal RNA". It matches the Rfam family "Bacterial small subunit ribosomal RNA", at positions 524 to 776 of the family's 1533-position model. The record is from RNAcentral.
UACGUAGGGUGCAAGCGUUAAUCGGAAUUACUGGGCGUAAAGCGUGCGCAGGCGGUUUUGUAAGUCUGUCGUGAAAGCCCCGGGCUCAACCUGGGAAUUGCGAUGGAGACUGCAAGGCUUGAAUCUGGCAGAGGGGGGUAGAAUUCCGCGUGUAGCAGUGAAAUGCGUAGAGAUGCGGAGGAACACCGAUGGCGAAGGCAGCCCCCUGGGCUAACACUGACGCUGAGGCACGAAAGCGUGGGGAGCAAACAGG